AUGUUUAGGAACGCUGCGGUCCGGGUCCCGGGGCUCUGUGAUGUUCCACAAGCAGAGGCGGGGCGAGGGGGGGAAACACUGGCAGAGCCUGGCAGAGUGGCACCUGUGUCAUUUCUGGGGCUGUGCUGGCUGCUGUCACUCCUGCCGGGGGGGGGGGGGGGGGGGGGGGGGGGGGGGGGGGGGGGGGGGGGGGGGGGGGGGGGGGGGGGGGGGGGGGGGGGGGGGGGGGGGGGGGGGGGGGCUGUGCUGGCUGCUGUCACUCCUGCCAGUUCGGCUCCUCUGCAUCCUUGUCUCCUCCUCCCCAUCUCCCUGGCUGAGUGCCCACCAUGGGCUGGGUGCCGCUGCCUCUCCAGGGACUGUCUCGGCAGGGGACGUCAGCAGCUUGGGAUGUGGAAACAUCCUCAGCCUGCAUCCCCAGGAGGGCCUUUCAGCUGCUGUUUGGGGCUUUUAGAUGGGAAAUGGAUUAGAAUCCCAAAUGUCAAUAGGAUUUAUAGAUACCAUCUGCUGCUGACCCUGAAUUUUCAGUCCCUGAAUUUUUCUGCUCAGUCCAAGAGCGCUCCUGCCUAUGGCUUUCUGGCUGUGCUGCUGUCAGGGUUCCUUUUCCUUUUCCUUUUCCUUUUCCUUUUCCUUUUCCUUUUCCUUUUCCUUUUCCUUUUCCUUUUCCUUUCCCUUUCCCUUUCCCUUUCCCUUUCCCUUUCCCUUUCCCUGCCCUGCCUUGCCUUUGCCUUUGCCUUGCCUUUGCCUUGCCUUGCCUCCCUUCCCAAAAGUUCACUUCCCUUCCCAAAACUUCCCUUCCCCUGGUUCCAGGGGGGCUGUACCUGUACCCACCCUUGCUCCCUUCCAGUCCCUGUCCGGAGCUCUGAUCUCAGGGCUGGGUCCAGCAGAGCGGGGUCUCCUGAGGAAGCGUCCUCACUCUGCUCAGCCCGAGGCUCCCUCUGCUGUCCGUCCAUCCAUCCCUCUGUCUGUCCGUCCCUCUGCCCAGCGCUUGCUGGGGAAUCCUCGGGCUGUGCAGGAGGAAUUGCUGAGCUGGGCUGGGGCAAGGCUCAGCUCAAAAUCCUCUCCCAAAAUCCUGCAGGGAGAGCAACCCCGGAGAGAAACGUCGGUGUGCUUUGA
Molecule: long non-coding RNA, 1113 nt
Filed under: Ficedula albicollis (Collared flycatcher)
Lineage: Eukaryota; Metazoa; Chordata; Aves; Passeriformes; Muscicapidae
Description: lncRNA (ENSFALG00000022971.1)
Source: RNAcentral